This is a long non-coding RNA of Hordeum vulgare subsp. vulgare (domesticated barley), 1338 nucleotides long. RefSeq lists it as uncharacterized. The transcript is spliced from 5 exons. NCBI's taxonomy places the organism in Eukaryota, Viridiplantae, Streptophyta, Magnoliopsida, Poales, Poaceae. The record is from RefSeq and is a predicted model, not a curated record.
GGAGCACCUAGUGUUCAAGAAUAGAAAAGCACAUCCCACUCUAUCGCUCCUCUCCACACGGCAGCAUAAAACCCCUAGGUUCGCCCGGCGAGCGCGACCAGAGACAAUCCAACAGCAGCACGAGCGGGGCACAAACUCGCGAUUGCGAGCACCACAUCCAUGCCGGCUCUGCCACUCGAUCCACAUCCUCUUGCGUGAAGAACUGGUAACCUGAAUCAAAAAGAACCCAACUUUAGAAACUAGCUGCAGCGUAGACAUCAAACAAGGGUAUCACAUAGUCACCUGACCACCGGAUCCACAGGGAAAUCCAUGGCCGAAAAGCCAGUCACGCAGCUCCGGGGCCGCCGGGGUUGAGCAGAAGGACAUCCUCCACGCAUGUAUUUGGCAGAAUGGCACUGACACGUUGCUCUGUUCUGUGAAGCAAACAGAGUUAAGAUUAUAAUCACCACCGAUCCUUCGUUCUUCAAUCCAGAGAAAGGCUGGCAUCAGCUUUCGAAAACCAUGAAGCUAGCUUAUGGAUUAAUCUUCAUGGGGUUUUUACAGUCUGUUGCAUAUCAGAUGUUUGAUCGGCAGGUCCAGGGUCUAUUUGAGGUGAAGAUGAUACUUAAUGACAAUGGUGGUGUCCUAAAAGACUGAAAUCACUAUCUGUAUACUGCAUGUGGUACUAUUGCUUCUUUCGUUUGGCGCUGAAGGCAAAGUGGUUGAAAUAAGCUUGAGUUCAUGAGGGUUCAAUGAAGUCUUAUCACCCAAUAUUGCAAAGUUGACAACACUACAAUGAUUCUAUUGUAGUGUUGUGACCUUCGCAAUGCUGGGCGACAAGACUCCACGUAACCCUGAUGAGCUCAAGCUUCUAAAAAUUGACAAAUGAGAAGAUAAGUCAAUAGUUGUGUGGACACAGGUAGCGUGCUAUUACAAUUACAAACAUAGUAAUAGCUGAUAAGAAAAUACCCUUGUGAACCAUCAAUUAUAUGAAAACUGUCGAUUAUAAUAACGAGCAUGAUGUUUUGGCAUCGGUAACAUAUACUCAUGGUAUCUGUAGCAUCAAGUCUGAACUGGUAAUGCAUGCCAUACACAUUUUUGUUGAGGAUACACACACAUGAACACUAAUAUACCUGUUAUACUAUAGGGAGAUUUAGUGCAAGGGGCUCUAGCUUACAUUUGAUGCAUAACAUCUGCCGUACAUUUUUAAGACAAAAUUUACAUAUGGUUAAAACAAAUGUUUCAGGGUAUAGGCCAUUGAGGGUGUACUGAUACGUCUACGUUAAUUUUUUAUUGUUUCUUGCCAACAUUCUACAACUUUCAUAUACUUUUGGCAACUUUUUAUACUAUUUUUGGGAC